CUCCGAAGCCCCGAUCAAAUGAUUCACGAAAUGCGAUUCAGAGUCCCGAUCUGAAUCAAAUGUUUUGCGAACUCGCUCUGAAGCCCCGAUCAAAUGAUUGGGGAAGCGCACUUCGGAGUCCCGAUCUGAAUAAAAUGUUUUGGAUCCGCCUUCAAGUCGCCAAACCCCUGUGACUGUCAAAUUCGUUUAGGUGCCGCCCAGAGGAUCAGCUCCGCGGGCGGCGCCGUCAAACAGCUGAUCCUGAGCGGACCUAUGGCGUGCAUCAGUCCAGAAUUUCUUUGCUGGGACACGGUUGCGCUGAACCCUCUUUUGAGACUGCCUCUGCAUAGGGCCCGGGAUCUUGUGCGGCCCCCUGGGGACGUCCCCUGUUUGCUGGUGCUCUUGCUGAGGCAUGGGAAAAAUAAAGGAGCUGGAAAAAACACCUGCUAGUGACAUCAGCAUCAUCUACACACCUGCUAGUGUCGUCAGCAUCAUCUACACACCUGCUAGUGACAUCAGCAUCAUCUACACACCUGCUAGUGACAUCAGCAUCAUCUACACACCUGCUAGUGACAUCAGCAUCAUCUACACACCUGCUAGUGUCAUCAGCAUCAUCUACACACCUGCUAGUGACAUCAGCAUCAUCUACUCACCUGAUAGUGUCAUCAGCAUCAUCUACACACCUGCUAGUGACAUCAGCAUCAUCUACACACCUGCUAGUGACAUCAGCAUCAUCUACACACCUGAUAGUGUCAUCAGCAUCAUCUACACACCUGCUAGUGACAUCAGCAUCAUCUACACACCUGCCAGUGACAUCAGCAUCAUCUACACACCUGCUAGUGACAUCAGCAUCAUCUACACACCUGCUAGUGACAUCAGCAUCAUCUACACACCUGCCAGUGACAUCAGCAUCAUCUACACACCUGCUAGUGACAUCAGCAUCAUCUACACACCUGCCAGUGACAUCAGCAUCAUCUACACACCUGCUAGUGACAUCAGCAUCAUCUACACACCUGCUAGUGACAUCAGCAUCAUCUACACACCUGCCAGUGACAUCAGCAUCAUCUACACACCUGCUAGUGACAUCAGCAUCAUCUACACACCUGCCAGUGACAUCAGCAUCAUCUACACACCUGCUAGUGACAUCAGCAUCAUCUACACACCUGCUAGUGACACCAUGCUUCUCUUCACCUGCUAUUUUGCAUGGUCCCCAAUAAACUCAAGGUGGGAUGCCUCUCCGAUUCUUUCACAUCAGGGCACUUAACCUCUACCAGGACACAGAGAGGUUCUUCAUUUGGGUCCACCACUUUGCCAUCUGCACCAAGGUGUGGAGCAUCAGGGUGGAUGAUGAGACCAGAUGGAAGAACGUUAACGUCAAAGGUCUCCUCAUAGCAGUGAAGAACCUCUGGCUCAAGUUUGAAUCCUCUACACAUCGCUCUCUAGAGACCCCGACAGAUGUUUACACACACUGUUUAAUGCAAGAUAUAAAUGCAUUUAACCUGCAAUUACAAAUACAUAAUGUUUUGAUGUUUUAAUCCCAAAAUGUCGAAUACUGAUAUUUGCAACGAUAAAAGAAAGAAAGUGCUUUAAGAAAAAUAUUGGCCAUACUUAAGUGGUAGAUUUCUGCCAUUUACUGGAAAACAUUUAAAAUUACAAUUUUAAACAGAAGCACUAUAUGAACAAAGUCAUUAAGUGUCAUGUCAUUUAGAUGAAUUAGAAUUUAAUUUGGGGUCCUGAAAUACCCUGAACACUGUACAGAGGUUAAGAUGACCAUUGCUACAUAAAUAAAAAUUGAAACUCAUCCUAUUUUGUUUUAAUUUUCCCUUACUAAAUUAUACAAUACAAUACAAUACAAUGUUAUUUGUUAAGCACAUUUAAAACAACCGAGGUUAGCCAAAGUGCUGGACACUGACAUAAUUAAGUCUUGUUCUAGGAACAGAUAAGAGUAGUUGGUCAGCAGACCUCAAUGACCUGAGAGGAGCAUGCAUCAUCAGUAGAUCAUCUAUGUAAGCUGGGGCUUGACCAUGAAGAGAUUUAAAAACAAACAAUAAAAUCUUAAUCCGUAUUCUAAAACAAACAGGUAGCCAAUGAAGAGAAGCAAGAACAGGCAUAAUGUGCUCUCGUUUACGGGUUCCAGUAAGGAGUCGAGCGGCAGGAUUCUGAACUGUUUGCAAUAUAGAAAGAGAGGCCUGGUUAACUCCUAUAAAGCAUUAUAAUAAUCCAGGCGAGUGGUGAUAAAAGCA
Carassius auratus (goldfish) is the source of this 2222-nucleotide long non-coding RNA. The record is from Ensembl. Lineage: Eukaryota; Metazoa; Chordata; Actinopteri; Cypriniformes; Cyprinidae.